This is a long non-coding RNA of Ipomoea nil (Japanese morning glory), 843 nucleotides long. RefSeq lists it as uncharacterized. The record is from RefSeq and is a predicted model, not a curated record. Lineage: Eukaryota; Viridiplantae; Streptophyta; Magnoliopsida; Solanales; Convolvulaceae. The transcript has 4 exons.
CUCUGCUCUCAUCUCUUAGCUAGGUUUUCUUCACUUCUCACAUUUUGGGGAUCUUUGUUUGAACAAUGCAAUCUCACCAAAAAAAAAAAAAAAAAAAAAAAAAUCCAGGCAUUGAUUCAUCUUUGUAUGCAUAUCUUCGUGAUAGCAUUUCUACUUCCUUCACAGUUGACUUCUCCGACACAUUUAUGGGUCGGAGAUGUCCGAUUUGAAGCUAUAUCCCGCACAGAUAUGUAAUUUAUUUACCCGAUUUUGAAUACCGAUCGUUGUUCAUUUCCUUUUUUUUUUUAAAUUUCGAAAUUGCGUGAUCCUAGCUGUUUGAACCUAGCUUCACUGUUUGGUAGAUUUUCUUCAUUUUGACUUCAAUUUCGCGAUACACACAUCUACGAUUCAUAAAGUGUAUGUAUCUGUAAGUUGGAAGACAUGCAUGUCAGAUCUAAGUACAGAUCUGGGUGUUUGGACUGCUGCUUCGUUCUCCUCAGAACGCAUACGGAGUGAAGUGUGGAAGAUCUACGAAAAGGGUAAUAAAGAUGGAAUUGGAUAACACUGUUUCUAAAUUGCAAAAUUAAUGAAUAAUGCAAAUUGUAAGAUUAGAGGAAUCACAACUCUGGACAUUCUCUAAUCUGGACGGGUGGAAAUGCAAUAGUAUGGCAAUGGCCCGUAAAAUAUUUAUUGGAAGAAUAAUGUAGGGAAUGACAUGUACCUCUUCCUCAUAGAAGAGGACUAUUAGAGAAACCUUUCAUUUCCACCUCUUGUUUUUGAAGGUUGACAAAUCACGAGCAAGAAAGUACAAACCCAAUCCGGAAGAGAAUUCUGAACUUCAAAGGAAUCAAAGGAAUUUCUGUA